This 566-nucleotide ribosomal RNA is filed under the name Colletotrichum gloeosporioides. RNAcentral describes it as "eukaryotic LSU rRNA". It matches the Rfam family "Eukaryotic large subunit ribosomal RNA", at positions 69 to 658 of the family's 3401-position model. Lineage: Eukaryota; Fungi; Ascomycota; Sordariomycetes; Glomerellales; Glomerellaceae. The record is from RNAcentral.
CGGGGCAUUGCCUCAGUAACGGCGAGUGAAGCGGCAACAGCUCAAAUUUGAAAUCUGGCCCCAGGCCCGAGUUGUAAUUUGCAGAGGAUGCUUUUGGUGCGGUGCCUUCCAAGUUCCCUAGAACGGGACGCCAGAGAGGGUGAGAGCCCCGUACAGUUGGACACCAAGCCUUUGUAAAGCUCCUUCGACGAGUCGAGUAGUUUGGGAAUGCUGCUCAAAAUGGGAGGUAUAUUUCUUCUAAAGCUAAAUACCGGCCAGAGACCGAUAGCGCACAAGUAGAGUGAUCGAAAGAUGAAAAGCACUUUGAAAAGAGGGUUAAACAGCACGUGAAAUUGUUAAAAGGGAAGCGCUUGUGACCAGACUUGCGUCCGGUGAAUCACCCAGCUCUCGCGGCUGGGGCACUUCGCCGGCUCAGGCCAGCAUCAGCUCGCUGUCGGGGACAAAAGCUUCAGGAACGUAGCUCUCUUCGGGGAGUGUUAUAGCCUGUUGCACAAUACCCUUCGGCGGGCUGAGGUACGCGCUCCGCAAGGAUGCUGGCAUAAUGGUCAUCAGCGACCCGUCUUGAA